Molecule: ribosomal RNA, 197 nt
Filed under: uncultured Streptococcus sp.
Lineage: Bacteria; Bacillati; Bacillota; Bacilli; Lactobacillales; Streptococcaceae
Description: partial 16S ribosomal RNA
Rfam family: Bacterial small subunit ribosomal RNA
Source: RNAcentral
CCUACGGGAGGCAGCAGUAUAGGGAAUCUUCGGCAAUGGGGGCAACCCUGACCGAGCAACGCCGCGUGAGUGAAGAAGGUUUUCGGAUCGUAAAGCUCUGUUGUAAGAGAAGAACGUGUGUGAGAGUGGAAAGUUCACACAGUGACGGUAACUUACCAGAAAGGGACGGCUAACUACGUGCCAGCAGCCGCGGUAAU